GCCCAAACUCCUACGGGAGGCAGCAGUGGGGAAUAUUGCACAAUGGGCGCAAGCCUGAUGCAGCAACGCCGCGUGAGGGAAGAAGGCCUUCGGGUCGUAAACCUCUAUCGACAGGGACGAAGAAAAUGACGGUACCUGAGUAAGAAGCCCCGGCUAACUACG
Molecule: ribosomal RNA, 162 nt
Filed under: uncultured bacterium
Lineage: Bacteria
Description: partial 16S ribosomal RNA
Rfam family: Bacterial small subunit ribosomal RNA
Source: RNAcentral